Molecule: long non-coding RNA, 286 nt
Filed under: Ananas comosus (pineapple)
Lineage: Eukaryota; Viridiplantae; Streptophyta; Magnoliopsida; Poales; Bromeliaceae
Description: long non-coding RNA (ACOM_LNC006719)
Source: RNAcentral
AAACAAAACCAGAACCAAAAAAAACGAAAAAAAUAUAUCUAUAAAAAUCGACCCUCUAAGUCCGAACAUCAACUUAAAAAACAUAAAUACCGACCGUCUCUAGAGCAAGUGGCAAAGGGCUUGGUGGUUGGUAUCCAAGACCCAAGUUCGAAUCCUAGUUGAUUCACAUUUCCAGCUAAGUUUAUUUUUAAAUGAAAUAAACGAAGCGGAUAGCGUGCUAUCUAUCUCUCAAAAAAAAAAAAACUUAAAAAACAUAAAUCAAGCUUCUAAACUUGAAGUCUACGUU